RNAcentral lists this ribosomal RNA (492 nucleotides) under uncultured bacterium. RNAcentral describes it as "partial 16S ribosomal RNA". It matches the Rfam family "Bacterial small subunit ribosomal RNA", at positions 29 to 507 of the family's 1533-position model. The record is from RNAcentral.
AGUGAACGCUGGCGGUAGGCCUAACACAUGCAAGUCGAACGGCAGCACAGUAAGAGCUUGCUCUUACGGGUGGCGAGUGGCGGACGGGUGAGGAAUACAUCGGAAUCUACUUUUUCGUGGGGGAUAACGUAGGGAAACUUACGCUAAUACCGCAUACGACCUACGGGUGAAAGCAGGGGAUCUUCGGACCUUGCGCGAUUGAAUGAGCCGAUGUCGGAUUAGCUAGUUGGCGGGUUAAAGGCCCACCAAGGCGACGAUCCGUAGCUGGUCUGAGAGGAUGAUCAGCCACACUGGAACUGAGACACGGUCCAGACUCCUACGGGAGGCAGCAGUGGGGAAUAUUGGGCAAUGGGCGCAAGCCUGAUACAGCCAUACCGCGUGGGUGAAGAAGGCCUUCGGGUUGUAAAGCCCUUUUGUUGGGAAAGAAAAGCAGCAGGUUAAUACCCCGCUGUUCUGACGGUACCCGAAGAAUAAGCACCGGCUAACUUCGUG